GACUGCGUGAAGCUGGAAUCGCUAGUAAUCGCGGAUCAGCAUGCCGCGGUGAAUACGUUCCCGGGCCUUGUACACACCGCCCGUCACACCACGAGAGUUUGUAACACCCGAAGUCGGUGAGGUAACCUUUUGGAGCCAGCCGCCGAAGGUGGGACAGAUGAUUGGGGUAAGUCGUAACAAGGUAGCCGUAUAGGAA
This 196-nucleotide ribosomal RNA is filed under the name Bacillus licheniformis. Its description in RNAcentral is "partial 16S ribosomal RNA". It matches the Rfam family "Bacterial small subunit ribosomal RNA", at positions 1314 to 1510 of the family's 1533-position model. Lineage: Bacteria; Bacillati; Bacillota; Bacilli; Caryophanales; Bacillaceae. The record is from RNAcentral.